UACGAAGGGGGCUAGCGUUGCUCGGAAUCACUGGGCGUAAAGCGCACGUAGGCGGAUUGUUAAGUCAGGGGUGAAAUCCUGGAGCUCAACUCCAGAACUGCCUUUGAUACUGGGGAUCUCGAGUCCGGGAGAGGUGAGUGGAACUGCGAGUGUAGAGGUGAAAUUCGUAGAUAUUCGCAAGAACACCAGUGGCGAAGGCGGCUCACUGGCCCGGAACUAACGCUGAGGUGCGAAAGCGUGGGGAGCAAACAGG
RNAcentral lists this ribosomal RNA (253 nucleotides) under uncultured bacterium. RNAcentral describes it as "partial 16S ribosomal RNA". It matches the Rfam family "Bacterial small subunit ribosomal RNA", at positions 524 to 776 of the family's 1533-position model. The record is from RNAcentral.